RNAcentral lists this ribosomal RNA (239 nucleotides) under uncultured bacterium. Its description in RNAcentral is "partial 16S ribosomal RNA". It matches the Rfam family "Bacterial small subunit ribosomal RNA", at positions 15 to 228 of the family's 1533-position model. The record is from RNAcentral.
GAUCAUGGCUCAGGACGAACGCUGGCGGCGUGCUUAACACAUGCAAGUCGAACGAGAAUCUACAGAUCGAGGAUUCGUCCAAGAGAAGUAGAGGACAGUGGCGGACGGGUGAGUAACGCGUGAGGAACCUGCCUUUCAGAGGGGGACGAACAGUUGGAAACGGAACUGCUAAUACCGCAUGACACAUUGGGGUUCGGCAUGGCCGUUGAUGUCAAAGAAUUUAUUCGCUGAAAGAAUGG